UUGUGACUGUGUGUGGAAGGGGUUGUU
This 27-nucleotide non-coding RNA is filed under the name Rattus norvegicus (Norway rat). Lineage: Eukaryota; Metazoa; Chordata; Mammalia; Rodentia; Muridae. The record is from RNAcentral.